GAUGAACGCUAGCUACAGGCUUGACACAUGCAAGUCGAGGGGAAACGACAUCGGAAGCUUGCUUUUGAUGGGCGUCGACCGGCGCACGGGUGAGUAACGCGUAUCCAACCUGCCCACCACUUGGGAAUAACCUUGCGAAAGUAAGACUAAUACCCAAUGAUAUCCCACGAAGGCAUCCGAAUGGGAUUAAAGAUUUAUCGGUGAUGGAUGGGGAUGCGUCUGAUUAGCUUGUUGGCGGGGUAACGGCCCACCAAGGCAACGAUCAGUAGGGGUUCUGAGAGGAAGGUCCCCCACAUUGGAACUGAGACACGGUCCAAACUCCUACGGGAGGCAGCAGUGAGGAAUAUUGGUCAAUGGGCGAGAGCCUGAACCAGCCAAGUAGCGUGCAGGACGACGGCCCUAUGGGUUGUAAACUGCUUUAUAAGGAUAAAGUGGGUCUCGUGAGACUUUUUGCAUGUACCUUAUGAAUAAGGACCGGCUAAUUCCGUG
RNAcentral lists this ribosomal RNA (489 nucleotides) under uncultured bacterium. RNAcentral's name for it is "bacterial SSU rRNA". It matches the Rfam family "Bacterial small subunit ribosomal RNA", at positions 28 to 507 of the family's 1533-position model. The record is from RNAcentral.